UAUAGGUAGGUACUUAUCUUACCAUUUUGUUAAAUACCUAGGUACUUUUGUCCUCAUAAAAUAUCACGAUUUUUGCAUUAUUUUAAUAUUAUUACCUAUUUUAUUUAUGCUAAUUUAUUUUUAACGUAAUCAGUUGUACCUACACGCUAUCAAUGUUUUUUUUUAAAAAUGAUAAUUGAUUAUUAAAUAUACUUAAAUACCUAUCAUUAUUAAGCCACAAUUGUCUUGUAUAAUAAAAUGGCUUUGAAGUGUUUUCGUUGCGCUUACAAAAAAA
Cinara cedri is the source of this 274-nucleotide non-coding RNA. The record is from the annotation of a GenBank genome assembly. Lineage: Eukaryota; Metazoa; Arthropoda; Insecta; Hemiptera; Aphididae.